Molecule: RNase P RNA, 370 nt
Filed under: uncultured Vagococcus sp.
Lineage: Bacteria; Bacillati; Bacillota; Bacilli; Lactobacillales; Enterococcaceae
Description: Bacterial RNase P class B
Rfam family: Bacterial RNase P class B
About the family: Ribonuclease P (RNase P) is a ubiquitous endoribonuclease, found in archaea, bacteria and eukarya as well as chloroplasts and mitochondria. Its best characterised activity is the generation of mature 5'-ends of tRNAs by cleaving the 5'-leader elements of precursor-tRNAs.
Source: RNAcentral
UUUCGGAUAAUCGCAGUUUACUUUAAGUAAGGUGAGGAAAGUCCAUGCUCGCACAGACUGAGAUGUCUGUAGUGUUCGUGCUUAAUGAAACCAUAAAUUAAGGUACUUCUUUUUAAAGAGGUAACGGCAGGAAAAAUAGCUAAGGUUUAUGCUAUGCUAGAGUAUCCUUGAAAGUGCCACAGUGACGAAGUGAUUUUAGAAAUAAAAUCAGUGGAACGGGUAAACCCCUCGAGCGAGCAACCCAAACAAUGGUAGGGGCACCUAUCCCAAGGAAAUGAACUUAGGGAUGGGACAGAAAAAUUUCUGUAGACAGAUGAUUAUCGUUGAUUAGUGUUACCUGGCAGUAAUCAAUACAGAACAUGGCUUAUAG